This is a long non-coding RNA of Amblyraja radiata (thorny skate), 167 nucleotides long. RefSeq lists it as uncharacterized. The record is from RefSeq and is a predicted model, not a curated record. Lineage: Eukaryota; Metazoa; Chordata; Chondrichthyes; Rajiformes; Rajidae. The transcript is spliced from 3 exons.
CUUCACUGUUUAAAAACCUUCCCCUCAGCUAACAAUGAACCAUUCUACAUUUCCUUGAUUACCAUCUGCUUUGAUCAGUUGUUUUCACACCCUGCCCUUCCAUAUCUCUAGACUUCCUCUCCCCUGACUCUCACUCACAAGAAGUAGUCUUGACCCGAAAUGUCGCC